This 64-nucleotide transfer RNA is filed under the name Dacus humeralis. RNAcentral's name for it is "tRNA-Tyr". It matches the Rfam family "tRNA". Rfam says of the family: Transfer RNA (tRNA) molecules are approximately 80 nucleotides in length. Their secondary structure includes four short double-helical elements and three loops (D, anti-codon, and T loops). The record is from RNAcentral. Lineage: Eukaryota; Metazoa; Arthropoda; Insecta; Diptera; Tephritidae.
UUAAAUGGCUGAAGGUUAGGCGAUAGAUUGUAAAUCUAUUUAUAAGAGUUUAUCUUUUUAAUCA